GUUGGAGGGUAAUGUGGCUGCUGGCUAAAAAAUUGGCGAGGUCAAUUGGCUUUUGGAAAAAUUGGCCCUGGUGUUAGGUAUGUAUGUAUUUGUGUCAAUGUGUGCCAUGUAAUGGACUGGUGUCCUGUCCAUGGUGUAUCCCCCCUUGCAGCUGUUGCUUGCUGGGGUAGGCACCAGCUUUCUUGUGACUCUUGGCUGGAUUAUAACUGGAUUGAUAGAUAAAAUUGACUACAGUCAAAAGUAUAGACUGGAAUCUUUUAUUGGAUAAUAUACUUUUUUCUGUGACUUCAAGAAUGGUAUUUCUAAAAGUCUGUUGCUGUUUUAAAGCAUACUUCUAUAUACUAUUGGAGCAGGAGUAUAUGAUAAACAACGUUGCUCUUAGCUACUCCCAAGUGUUUAAGACUAUAGGUCUGUCAAUCCAACUGCCUCAGAGUUUGCAUGUUCAUUUGUCCGAAUUACACGAAACUGAUAAAACUAUCAAGUAACCAACCAAACGAACAUAACUAAAAACCAUCAUUCGAACUGCCCUAAAUUAGAAUCCUGAAAGACCCAAGUGCCUGUGCAAAUUUGUCAUGCUGUUUUUCUUCUUAGGACGAGAGCAGGUGCACACUUAGCCUGGUGGUGUAUGUUUUAUUAAUAUGUGCCUCUAGAACAGGGCACAUGGUGUGUGAAAGCACUGAAGCUUUGGCUGCGGUCCUGCAUGGCAUUCAAAAGUGCAGUCCUUGACAACAGGAAACGCCUACAGCAGCCUCUCGCAGGGUGGAAGAAGCAGACAAGGACAGCAUGGGGUAUACUAUUGAAGCACAGGGACUGCCAAUGAUGCUGCAGUUCAGUGGUGGACAAAGUGGGUCCUUCUAAAGAUGACACGACGACAAGACAUCUGGGCUUGAAGGAAUAUCCUACACUGACAUGCUCGCAGUUCGUCCACUUACUCAAGUGUUGAUUCUUCUGAAUAGCCUUUUGUGUAUCAUUAUCUUUUGUAGAAAGGUAUCUUGUAGAUAUGUUUACUGAUUUUUUGGGACAGUACAAUAUGGCCAUCGUGG
This is a long non-coding RNA of Lepisosteus oculatus (spotted gar), 1043 nucleotides long. RefSeq lists it as uncharacterized. Lineage: Eukaryota; Metazoa; Chordata; Actinopteri; Semionotiformes; Lepisosteidae. The record is from RefSeq and is a predicted model, not a curated record.